RNAcentral lists this long non-coding RNA (315 nucleotides) under Homo sapiens (human). RNAcentral describes it as "HSALNT0353027". Lineage: Eukaryota; Metazoa; Chordata; Mammalia; Primates; Hominidae. The record is from RNAcentral.
UCUGGUUCCACCAAACUUUGUUCCAGGCCCUUUUUUUCUUUGCUGAUUUUACUUUGUAUCCUUUCACUGUAAUAAACCAUAACCCCUUCUCCCCUGCAUACUAAAUAAGGAGAUAAAUGCACUCAAGCAAGCAAGCAUUACCUGGAUUCCACGAGGUGAAAAAUAGCAUGGAGACCAUCACAAAGGAGAUCUGCCUCGAGGAAACUAUCAGACUGGCCCAGGAUGGAGAAUGAAGACAGCAAUUUGCUCUGUUCUCUAAAGCUCUGAUUCAAGUUCUCUAGUCUGCCGAAAAUAAAUAAAUAAAUAAUUUGACAU